AAAGAGGCCCAUAAGGGCGCACGGUGGAUGCCUAGGCAUAAAGUAGCGAUGAAGGACGCGGCGUAGCGGCGAUACGCCUCGGGGAGGUGCGUAGCAACCUUUGAUCCGGGGAUGUCCGAAUAGGGAAACCUGUCAGAGCAAACCUCUGUCGCUUUCACACAUAAGUGGUGAAAGAGCAUACCCAGCGAAGUAAAACAUUCCAGUAGCUGGAGGAAAAGAAAGAAAAUUCUAUUCCCCAAGUAGCGGCGAGCGAAAAGGGAAAAGCCCAAACCAGAGACCUUAUUAAGUUUGAGGUAUCCGGUGUUGUAAGAUGAGAACUUCUUCGUAUUUGAGUGAUGGCCGGAACUUAAGGUCAUCACUUAGAUACGGAGGGAGAGUUACAAAUUCAUUUGCUAGCAGAAUCUUCCUGGAAAGGAGAACCGUAGGAGGUGAUAGUCCUGUAAGCGAAAGCGAAUGAACUCUCUGUUUUCAAUCUUGAGUACCCCAAGACACGAAAGUAUUGGGGGAAUCAUCCUGUACUACCGGGAAAGGCUAAAUAUACUUUAUGACCGAUAGUGAACAAGUACCGUGAGGGAAAGGUGAAAAGUAGUCCGGAGAGGACGGUGAAAUAGACCUGAAACCGUGUGCCUACAAGGAGUCGGAGCCCGAAGCUCAUCUCGCAAGAGAUGGGUUGGGUGACGGCGUGCUUUUUGCAGAACGACCCAACGAGUCUAUGUGUGCUGCAAGCUUAAACUGCAUUGCAGUGGAGGCGUAGCGAAAGCGAGUGUUAAUAGCGCGUCCUAGUAGCACGUAUAGGACCCGAAGCCAGGCGAUCUUACCUUGGCCAGGGUGAAAGUUGUCGAAGGACAACUGGAGGCCCGCACCAGUAUGUGACGCAAAGCGUUUGGAUGAGCUGAGGUAAGCAGUGAAAAGCUAAUCGAGCUUGGUAAUAGCUGGUUCUCUCCGAAACAGUUUUAGGACUGGCGUCGUGAUGUUUCUUUCCGGGGGUAGAGCACUGGAUGGUUCGUGCCGGGCGCAAGCCUAGCGAGCCAAUCAAACUCCGAAUACCGGGAAGCGUAGUCCGGCAGUUAGACUGCGGGGGAUAAGCUCCGUGGUCGAAAGGGAAACAGCCCAGAUCGUCGUCUAAGGUCCCUAAGUAUUUGUUAAGUGUUAAAGGUUGUGAAUUGCCAGUGACAGGUAGGAGGUUGGCUUAGAGGUAGCCAUCCUUUAAAGAAAGUGUAACAACUCACUGCUCGAUGGCAGUUUGCGCCGAAGAUUCAUGGGGCUCAAACAAGUCACCGAAGACACGAAUUUCCUGAUUCAAUUCAGGGAGUGGUAGGAGAGCAUUCUAAGCUGCGCCGAAGUAGGAGCCGUGAGGCCCUAUGGAGCGCUUAGAAGAGAGAAUGUUGGGAUGAGUAACCGCAAAGCAGGUGAGAAACCUGCUCCCCGAAAGUCCAAGGUUUCCGUGGCAAUGGCAAUCAUCCACGGGUUAGGCGGGCCUAAGGCGAUGGCGAAAGCCGCAGUCGAUGGACAGCUGGUCAACAUUCCAGCCCAUCAAUACGGUCCGAUGGAGUGACGGAGCAAAUAAGGCACAGUGGAUUAUUGGUUUUCUAUCGCUUGUUCCAAGAGUUGUAUCUUAGGCAAAUCCGGGAUACGCAAGACUCGGGAUCCGGCGGAAGGUUUGGUUUUUGCCAGGCCGACUGUGUUGAAGAGGCUUCCCAGAAAAACUUCUAAGGUUAAUCGUAUUGAUUCCGUACCGCAAAACCAACACAGGUGGACAGGGCGAGUAGCCCAAGGGGAACGAGUGAUUCCUCGCUAAGGAACUCGGCAAAAAAGCGACCGUAACUUUGGGAUAAGGUCUGCCCUUCGCAAGAAGGGCCGCAGCGAAAGUAUCUCUGGCGACUGUUUAACAAAAACACAGCUCCCUGCGAACUCGUAAGAGGAUGUAUAGGGGGUGACGCCUGACCGAUGCGGGAAGGUUAACGUUGGGAGUGUAUUUACCUUUGGGUAGAUAUGCCCACUGACCGAAGCCCCCGUCAAUGUCAGCGGUAACUAUAACCGUUCUAAGGUAGCGCAUUUCCUUUCCGGGUAAUUUCCGGAGCGCACGAAUGGCGUAACGACUGGAGAACUGUCUCAGCGAGGAGCUCGGUGAAAAUGCAAUUCCCGUGAAGAUGCGGGAUACCUACAGUGGGACGAGAAGACCCCGGGAGCUUUACUGCAGCUUGGUAUUGGCUAUAAGGCUUGUAUGCGUAGCGUAGUGGGGAGGCUUUGAAGCUUUGACUUCGGUUAAAGUGGAGCCGCCAAUGAAACACCCAUCUUACAAUUUUUAUAGUCUAACCUGGACGGCAAAAACGGACAGGAACAGUGCCUGGCGGGCAGUUUAAAUGGGGCGUUUUCCUUAACGUGAUAGUGUACUUCGUGCUAUCGCAGGGGGACACUUGCCAUCUUUUGAUGGCAGUGAAAAAUCUGGCUGUAUGCUGGAACCUCCGUGGUAUCUGUUUGUACCCUUGUCGAAAGGGUGAAAAUCAAACAGUGGCCUCCGAUGUUAUAUCGGAGCGGCGGACAAUCAGCAGGAAACCUGGCAAUCAGGGAUCCUCAGAGACUAUACGCCAGAGCAACCGCAAAGGGCGGUUGUAAGAUAUAGUCCGAACUCUAUGGCGACAUAGAGGAUCGCGCUGGAGACAGCGUGACACCCAAAACAAUGAGAUCAAAUGAAAUUGAGAGCCACAAGAAACAAUUGCGGCUCAGCAAGAAACAAAGAUCAAUUCUUGUCGGAAAGAUCUUAGGCGAUGGUCACCUUGAAACUCAAAAUCAAGGUAAGACAUAUCGCCUCAAGGUGGAGCAUUCCAUAGAUCAAAAAGAGUACGUAGAUUGGCUUUACGAACAAUUCAAGGACUUUGUUCGUAGAGAGCCAUAUACAAAGAAGAAGCAGCUGGGCGGCAAGUCGUUUACUAGCUACGGCUUCACUACAUACUCGCUGGGAGCAUUCCGUUUCUAUGCCCAACAAUUUUAUGAUGGGCAAAAGAAAGUGAUACCAGGAUUGAUUAAGAAACUGAUUGAUCCCUUAGUGUUAGCAGUAUGGUUUAUGGAUGACGGAUCAUUUAAAUCCGCACAUCAUAGGACAUACAUCAUUCAUACACUGGGAUACAAGAGACAAGAGCUUGAUUUGAUCAAAGAUGUGCUUCAAGAACAGUUUGGUAUAGACGUCAGAUUACAUCGACAGUACGACAAGUGGAGGUUGUAUUUAGCGAGUGGAUCUGCAGCGCGGUUCAGAGAGUUGAUCGAACCGUAUGUUGUACCGACAUUGAAGUACAAACUGGGGAACAAAAUGCCUAAAGAGUAACGGAGGAGUUUAUUAAGGUUAGCUUGGUGCGGAUGGAAAUCGCGCCUAAAGUAUAAAGGCAUAAGCUAGCUUGACUGCAAGACCUACAAGUCGCGCAGGUGCGAAAGCAGAACUUAACGACCCGACAGCCCUUCGUAGAACGGCUGGAGACAUCGGAUAAAAGCUACCCCGGGGAUAACAGGCUAGUCUUCCCCGAGAGUCCAUAUCGACGGGA
This 3536-nucleotide ribosomal RNA is filed under the name bacterium. Its description in RNAcentral is "partial 23S ribosomal RNA". It matches the Rfam family "Bacterial large subunit ribosomal RNA", at positions 1 to 2513 of the family's 2925-position model. The record is from RNAcentral.